Molecule: RNA transcript, 499 nt
Organism: Fragaria vesca subsp. vesca
Lineage: Eukaryota; Viridiplantae; Streptophyta; Magnoliopsida; Rosales; Rosaceae
Exons: 2
Source: RefSeq, a predicted model, not a curated record
CUUACCAUCUGUCUACAAUCUCAUUAGCCUUGUUAGAUCACUAGUCCACUUACCAGAUAAUAUUACUAAUGCCGGAGCUGGAUCCACCGCCUGCUGGUGAGCCGUUGCUGGCCCCGGCUCCUCCCUACCAUCGAGCCGGAUGCUUGGAAUUCUGCUUGUGGCUUCUGUGCUGCUGUGGUAUGUUUAAAUGUUGCUGCCCUCCACUCUUUGAGUCCGGGCCUCCCCCACCCUAGCUAUGGUGCUGCAUUUUCUAUCUAACUCACUUUUCUAUGGGUCAAACAUUGUGCGAGUCACGAGAGGUAGCUAGAUCAUCAUUAUCUGAUCUCAGUAUUCCAAUUUGGUUAACUGGUCUCUGAUGUAACCACCCGUUAAUAUGUAGGCGUUUGUGAGACUGUAUUAUCUAUUUCGGUUGGUAAUUUGUACAUUGAUCUAUAGUUACUUUCUCAAUUUUGUAGUCUUCAUAUUGUAAUGCCAAUGGAAUUGCAACUGCUUAGUGUCU